GUCCUAGCCGUAAACUAUGAGUACUGAAUUGGAGGGCCCUCCAUAGCCCUCCAGUUGUAGCGAAAGUGUUAAGUACUCCGCCUGGGGAGUAUGGUCGCAAGGCUGAAACUCAAAGAAAUUGACGGGGGCUCACACAAGCGGUGGAUGAUGUGGCUUAAUUCGAGGCUACGCGAAGAACCUUAUCCUAGUCUUGACAUGCUUGGAUUAACCCUAGGAAACUAGGGCCACGCCUUCGGGUGGAACAAGCACAGGUGCUGCAUGGCUGUCGU
This 269-nucleotide ribosomal RNA is filed under the name uncultured bacterium. Its description in RNAcentral is "partial 16S ribosomal RNA". It matches the Rfam family "Bacterial small subunit ribosomal RNA", at positions 793 to 1055 of the family's 1533-position model. The record is from RNAcentral.